This 334-nucleotide unclassified non-coding RNA is filed under the name fungal sp. RNAcentral's name for it is "partial internal transcribed spacer region". The stretch from base 1 to 46 matches the Rfam family "Eukaryotic small subunit ribosomal RNA", at positions 1786 to 1831 of the family's 1831-position model. The record is from RNAcentral. Lineage: Eukaryota; Fungi.
AAGUCGUAACAAGGUAACCGUAGGUGAACCUGCGGUUGGAUCAUUAACAAAAUAUUACAAGAGGGGUCUGAUCAUGAAUGGGAGUAGUGAUACUUCAUUGUGUAAAGGCCUACCUCUCAACCUUUAUGUGAACUGUGCUGUUUCUGGUGGUGGAGGCCAGGUUGCGUGGUUUGUUUUUAUGCAACCACACACCCUUUUCUCUGUCAGCCCACAAGUUGGGCCGUGGACAAUCCACCAAACAACUUAUUUCUAAACAUUGCUUAGUUUUUGUGUCUUAAGUGAAGCAAAAUUUAAAUGUUUAAACAACUUUUGGCAACGGAUCUCUUGGCUCUCA